UAAUUUUGUAGUUUCGUAGAAUGAACAAGAAAGGGUGCAGUCCUAGUAGUAGAAGUUUUGAGAUAAUAAUUAUAAAAGGUCUUAUUUUGAGCAAUCGAGUGGAUCAUUCGGUUAUCAUUUUAGGCAAGAUUUUAUGCUGGAUUUGAGCUGAAAUUAAGUUUCUAUACCGUAUAAUACCACUGUUUUGUAGGGAAAAAAAAAAACUAGGGGAGGUAAUCCAACUCUUAAGGUUGAUGAGAGCUUCAAAUCUUUUGCCAGAUGGGUUGAUUUAUAGGGAGUUAAUUAGAUGCACGAGUGAGACCCAUACGUUAGAUGAUGCGAAUUCUCUUCUUGAAGAGAUGAUGGAAAACUGUAGAACACCUGCUGUUGAUGUGCUUGUUGAUCUAGUAGUAGGCCUUUGUGCUAUGCUUGAAGGCUGCUGCAAUGCUGGUAAAGCUUUUUUGGCAAAAAAGUAUCCUGGACAAAAUGGAUGAGAGAAAGAUAACAGAUUGUGAUUCUUGGAAUAUUCUAAUCACAUGGCUUUCUGAGAAUAUGGAAAUAAGGAAAACUGAUGAACUUCUUUGUAGAAUGUUUAUAUUUUCCAUAGUUCCUGACUCUGCGACAUACUCAGCUCUUGUUGUAGGCAACUGUUGGUUGAGAAAGUAUGAGGAUGCUCUGUAGGUGUUCCAUCGGGUUUGUAUCAAAAAUUGGGUUCUGGAUUCUAUAUUUUAUUAGGACUUAUGGAGAGCCUUUGCCAGGCAGGAAAGAUUUGGAGGCUGCUGAAGUAUUUCAUGUCAUGUAGAAGAACAGAUGCUCCCUCAGUCCUUACAAUAUGCUGAUAGGUGGCAUGUGUAGCAUGGGACAAGUGGAUAAAGCAAUUUGGCUACGGGGUUUUUCUUACAGUUCUAAUACUUCUUAUACUACUCUAACUUACACGACAAUCAUGCAUGGAUUGUCAAAAUUAAAAAUGGCUAUAGGACUAAUGGUAAUUCUCUCACAAAUUUUGGUGGACAGUUGUGCUAUAGAUGUGGAGGUAUAUUGCAUCCUCAUACAAAGCAUGAGUGCACAAAAUUGAACUAAGGAUUCUGCUUUCUUUUUCAAUGUGCUGGUUAAUGAGGGUUUAGUGCCUGACCAAGAAAGAAUGCAUACACUUCUGUGUUGUUUGGCUAGCCAAUCUGACUUGCACAUGGUUUUAAGUGGGAUUGAUAAACUAGUUUCUAAUAGUGAUACUUUGGAUUCAUCUAUGUGUAACAUACUUAUCAAUGGCCUCUGGAAAGAGGGUCUAAAAUGUGAGGCAUCCUGAUUAUUGGAUCUGAUGUUGGAAAAAGGUUGGGUACCAGAUGCUAUAACUCACAGACUGUUGGUUGGGUCUUUGGAUUCAAUGCAAGAAAUGAAACUGUAAUUAGAAAGUUUCUAAAUUACUCUGGUGGAAAACUCGCCAUGAUGGGAUGAAGAGAAAUCAAAAGAAGAAAUUAUUUCCCAAGACGCGGCAGCCAAGGAGGUCCACCACAAACAAAAGCAGCAGAUGACAAACAUGAGGAGACUGAAGCUGUGAUGGAACAGGAGGCAAAUAAAAGGGGAGAAGGAGGGCAAGAGUCUCCUUAGAGAAAGAAUUUGAAGAAGUAGAAGGAGAGUUGCAGGUCUCUCAAAAAACUGCAUGGCACUUUGAUGUAUGUCGUGUAAUGUGAACCAGCUUGUCUUUCAAGCAUUCAGAAAACUUGUAUUGAAACUUUGAUGUAAACUUGUUCUCAUUACAGAAAAUUAAUAAAGACUACAUUUCCAGUA
Long non-coding RNA from Mangifera indica (mango), 1764 nucleotides. RefSeq lists it as uncharacterized. NCBI's taxonomy places the organism in Eukaryota, Viridiplantae, Streptophyta, Magnoliopsida, Sapindales, Anacardiaceae. The transcript is spliced from 2 exons. The record is from RefSeq and is a predicted model, not a curated record.